This 45-nucleotide transfer RNA is filed under the name Caiman latirostris (Broad-snouted caiman). Its description in RNAcentral is "partial tRNA-Arg". The record is from RNAcentral. Lineage: Eukaryota; Metazoa; Chordata; Crocodylia; Alligatoridae.
CACACCUGGCUCAGCCCCAGGAACUAGUCUAAAACAAGACCUCUA